This 292-nucleotide ribosomal RNA is filed under the name uncultured bacterium. RNAcentral's name for it is "partial 16S ribosomal RNA". It matches the Rfam family "Bacterial small subunit ribosomal RNA", at positions 505 to 796 of the family's 1533-position model. The record is from RNAcentral.
GUGUCAGCCGCCGCGGUAAUACAGAGGUGGCAAGCGUUGUUCGGAUUUACUGGGCGUAAAGGGUGCGUAGGUGGUCACCUAAGUCGGGUGUGAAAUCCCACGGCUUAACCGUGGAACGGCAUUCGAAACUGGGUGACUUGAGUGCAGGAGGGGAGAGCGGAAUUCUUGGUGUAGCGGUGAAAUGCGUUGAUAUCAAGAAGAACACCGGUGGCGAAGGCGGCUCUCUGGAAUGCUACUGACACUGAGGCACGAAAGCUGGGGGAGCAAACAGGAUUAGAUACCCCUGUAGUCC